GGGGGGAGGGGGCCCAGAGGGUGGGGGCACCCUCAGGGCACUAUAGUGCCAGGAAAACGAGUAGGUUUUCCUGGCAAUAUGGUGGUCCUUUAACUCCACCUCUAGUGGCUGUCUAGUAGACAGCCACUAGAGGGCACUUCCUGAUUCAUAGCAAAGAUUUUCUUUGCUAGAGCGUCGCUGGCCAUCCUCACGCUGUGUGAGGACCUCCAGUGUCG
Pelobates cultripes (western spadefoot toad) is the source of this 215-nucleotide non-coding RNA. The record is from the annotation of a GenBank genome assembly. Lineage: Eukaryota; Metazoa; Chordata; Amphibia; Anura; Pelobatidae.